UACGGAGGGGGCUAGCGUUGUUCGGAAUUACUGGGCGUAAAGAGCGCGUAGGCGGCUUACCAAGUUGGGGGUGAAAUCCCGGAGCUCAACGCCGGAACUGCCUUCAAAACUGGUAGGCUCGAGUCCGGAAGAGAGGCGGCGAAUUCCCAGUGUAGAGGUGAAACUCGUAGAUAUUGGGAAGAACACCGGUGGCGAAGGCGGCGCCCUGGUCCGGUACUGACGCUGAGGUGCGAAAGCGUGUGCAGCAAACAGG
This 253-nucleotide ribosomal RNA is filed under the name uncultured bacterium. RNAcentral describes it as "partial 16S ribosomal RNA". It matches the Rfam family "Bacterial small subunit ribosomal RNA", at positions 524 to 776 of the family's 1533-position model. The record is from RNAcentral.